RNAcentral lists this ribosomal RNA (419 nucleotides) under Aoraki denticulata. RNAcentral describes it as "partial 16S ribosomal RNA". The stretch from base 280 to 419 matches the Rfam family "Bacterial large subunit ribosomal RNA", at positions 2473 to 2612 of the family's 2925-position model. Lineage: Eukaryota; Metazoa; Arthropoda; Arachnida; Opiliones; Pettalidae. The record is from RNAcentral.
UAAAUUGUUCAUUAAUUGUGAACUAGAAUGAAGGAAAAAAUGGUUUAAAUCUGUCUUAAAAUUUAUAGAUUGAAAUCAAAUUUUUUUGUAAAAAUGCAAAAAUAAAUUUUAGGGACAAGAAGACCCUAUAAAGCUUACUUGAAUUUUUUAAUAAUAUAUUUUUCAAAAUUCAUUUGAUUGGGGCAAUAAUUUAUUUAUGUUUAUUAUAAAUUAAAUAGAAUUAAUAGAAUUUUAUUAGAAAGAUCCAUUAUUAUUGAAAAACGAUUAAGUUACUUUAGGGAUAACAGGAUAAUUUUUAUUAGAAAGUUCUUAUUAAUAAUAAAGUUUAUUACCUCGAUGUUGAAUUAAUUUAAUAUAAUGGUGAAGUUACUAUUUGUAUUUGACUGUUCGUCAAUUAAAUAAUUACAUGAUCUGAGUUC